RNAcentral lists this ribosomal RNA (504 nucleotides) under uncultured bacterium. Its description in RNAcentral is "partial 16S ribosomal RNA". It matches the Rfam family "Bacterial small subunit ribosomal RNA", at positions 28 to 523 of the family's 1533-position model. The record is from RNAcentral.
GAUGAACGCUAGCGGCAGGCUUAAUACAUGCAAGUCGUGGGGCAGCAGGUUUGUAGCAAUACAGAUGCUGGCGACCGGCAAACGGGUGCGUAACACGUACGCAACUUACCCAUUACUGGUGAAUAGCCCAGGGAAACUUGGAUUAAUACACCAUAACAUAUAGAAAAGGCAUCUUUUUUAUAUUAAAGCUUCGGCGGUAAUGGAUGGGCGUGCGGUUGAUUAGAUAGUUGGCGGGGUAACGGCCCACCAAGUCUACGAUCAAUAGCUGAUGUGGGAGCAUGAUCAGCCAGACGGGCACUGAGAACCGGGCCCGACUCCUACGGGAGGCAGCAGUAAGGAAUAUUGGGCAAUGGACGAAAGUCUGACCCAGCCAUGCCGCGUGAAGGAUGAAGGUCCUCUGGAUUGUAAACUUCUUUUAUCUGGGGCGAAAACCUCCCUUUCUAGGGGGCUUGACAGUACCAGAAGAAUAAGCACCGGCUAACUCCGUGCCAGCCGCCGCGGUAA